CUCAGAUUGAACGCUGGCGGCAGGCCUAACACAUGCAAGUCGAGCGGUAGAGAGGUGCUUGCAUCUCUUGAGAGCGGCGGACGGGUGAGUAAUGCCUAGGAAUCUGCCUAGUGGUGGGGGAUAACGUUCGGAAACGGACGCUAAUACCGCAUACGUCCUACGGGAGAAAGCGGGGGAUCUUCGGACCUCGCGCCAUUAGAUGAGCCUAGGUCGGAUUAGCUAGUUGGUGAGGUAAAGGCUCACCAAGGCGACGAUCCGUAACUGGUCUGAGAGGAUGAUCAGUCACACUGGAACUGAGACACGGUCCAGACUCCUACGGGAGGCAGCAGUGGGGAAUAUUGGACAAUGGGCGAAAGCCUGAUCCAGCCAUGCCGCGUGUGUGAAGAAGGUCUUCGGAUUGUAAAGCACUUUAAGUUGGGAGGAAGGGUAGUAACCUAAUACGUUGCUACUUUGACGUUACCGACAGAAUAAGCACCGGCUAACUUCGUGCCAGCAGCCGCGGUAAUACGAAGGGUGCAAGCGUUAAUCGGAAUUACUGGGCGUAAAGCGCGCGUAGGUGGUUCAGCAAGUUGGAUGUGAAAGCCCUGGGCUCAACCUGGGAACUGCAUCCAAAACUACUGAGCUAGAGUACGGUAGAGGGUAGUGGAAUUUCCUGUGUAGCGGUGAAAUGCGUAGAUAUAGGAAGGAACACCAGUGGCGAAGGCGACUACCUGGACUGAUACUGACACUGAGGUGCGAAAGCGUGGGGAGCAAACAGGCUUAGAUACCCUGGUAGUCCACGCCGUAAACGAUGUCGACUAGCCGUUGGGAUCCUUGAGAUCUUAGUGGCGCAGCUAACGCAUUAAGUCGACCGCCUGGGGAGUACGGCCGCAAGGUUAAAACUCAAAUGAAUUGACGGGGGCCCGCACAAGCGGUGGAGCAUGUGGUUUAAUUCGAAGCAACGCGAAGAACCUUACCUGGCCUUGACAUGCUGAGAACUUUCUAGAGAUAGAUUGGUGCCUUCGGGAACUCAGACACAGGUGCUGCAUGGCUGUCGUCAGCUCGUGUCGUGAGAUGUUGGGUUAAGUCCCGUAACGAGCGCAACCCUUGUCCUUAGUUACCAGCACGUUAUGGUGGGCACUCUAAGGAGACUGCCGGUGACAAACCGGAGGAAGGUGGGGAUGACGUCAAGUCAUCAUGGCCCUUACGGCCAGGGCUACACACGUGCUACAAUGGUCGGUACAAAGGGUUGCCAAGCCGCGAGGUGGAGCUAAUCCCAUAAAACCGAUCGUAGUCCGGAUCGCAGUCUGCAACUCGACUGCGUGAAGUCGGAAUCGCUAGUAAUCGUGAAUCAGAAUGUCACGGUGAAUACGUUCCCGGGCCUUGUACACACCGCCCGUCACACCAUGGGAGUGGGUGCUCCAGAAGUAGCUAGUCU
Molecule: ribosomal RNA, 1417 nt
Filed under: Pseudomonas sp.
Lineage: Bacteria; Pseudomonadati; Pseudomonadota; Gammaproteobacteria; Pseudomonadales; Pseudomonadaceae
Description: bacterial SSU rRNA
Rfam family: Bacterial small subunit ribosomal RNA
Source: RNAcentral